CACUGAACAGGAACUUCACUGUUGUUGCUGCAUUUCAGGGUGUCCAGUGUCUCUGGAACGAUGCUUCCCAAUGCAGAGAUGUUGUAGUAGCGUACGUCUUGGAGCUGGCAAGAGACCAGCGGCAGGAGAAACGCAAAGCCCCGUGCGUUUAGGUCGUCACCGGCACGGAUGUCGGCUCCCACCAGGAUCCCGGAGUAGACAUUGAUCACCGUGGCGCUUCCACCUUGGUAUCCAUGCUGGAAAGUAUUGCCGAGGCUUGUGGUAAACAUGAUAGCACUGGCGCGAUCACCUGGUCGUCCAAAAGCACGAGCCAAGGUAUAAUGCAUACCAAGAAGAGGUGAUAGAGCAAGCUUACCAACGUGAUCCCAUUCGCCAAGCCAGAGGGACAUGGACGUGAUGAGCUCCCCGGGCUGGAAAGUGUAGGUGGACGAGCUUCCAGCGGGGCUGCCAUAGAGGUGGCAUUGAUUGUCCGUCUCACCCGUCUGCCACAACUUGACAGCUUUGGUUCUGUUACCAUAGUCCCACACUUGGAUCUGGCGGAUGACCUUCCCGCUAGUCCAGGCUUCAAGCUGAUAGUCAGUGCCACCCGAGGUGUUUCCCACAACUUGGACGGUGCCAAUGACGGGGCUGGAGAGUGUCAUGAGCAAAAGGAUGAAUGCAAGGGAGUUCUAGGAGAGAUGCUUUGGUGAUGAUGAUCUAGAAUGGACCUAGAUUUAUAUUGUCCUCGACUUGGUGCUUGAGUCAACCAUCGCUGGAUUGUUGAUCGUACUCCAUGUGCGCGUGAUUUUCGAUCUCUGAAUGAAAGAGUUUCUUACGCUGUUGCUGUUCAACGUAAUCUGCAUCGACAACAGGUCCUGAUUAUCACAGAAUAAACAAACACCAAAAAACUACGGUCGUGAUGAACGCGCUGCACUUGAACGUAAAAAAUCUGCCAGCAAGAUGCAACAAGAUUAAAAACAUUUCUCGUUUUAAUCAUGUGAAAUUUUUCUAAGAGGUUUAUAUGUGUUUGUAAACGUCAGGAUGCAGAUUUGAGUCCUCGAGAACUGAUAUUUAGUCCUAAUUAACACAGAAUAAACAAAUCUCGAAAGCAAUCUAGACAGUACAUACAGGUUUCUCUUGGUGAACGCGCUGCAUUACAAAAUUCUGACUACGAGCUGCAUCCUGAUUUUGUUGACGUUAAGAGGUUUAUCAGUGCUCCGCCGUUGGAUCGGGGGCAUCCGACGUACCGUUUAACAUUUGGUUAUGAACAAGAACAAGACAUUGGAGCCUCCAAAAAAUAUAGCGAUUUGUUCAAACGUCAACAAAAUCGAUGUCGUGGUCAAAUCUCCAUCCUGACGUUUACAUUAACACAUAUAAACCUCUUAGAAAACUUAUAGGAAAUAUAAUGUGAUAAUAAGUUCAACCUUUUAAUGUUUUUGUUCCGCUAUGGUUCUUGUGGGAGCGGCGCUCGAGGCUUUGGAUUUCAAGACGCGGCGACCAAGGUACCACUUUGCUCAGAUUUGCGAAGCGAUUGCGUGUUUUUUUUACCACUUCACUUGCUUUGUAAGUUGUAGUUGGCUUGGCUCUUGGGUCAUCCCACUUUGGUAGCUGAUGCUUUAAAGGCAUCGCCGGCGAUAGAGAUCAAACAGUCCAGCACUCCGCGUUUCGUGUGUGUUUUGCAAAAGGAAUUCGCGACCGCUAUUCCAGCGCUUGUGGAUGUAAGAUCGAUUUGGAUACAAGCUUGGUUGCAACUCACUCAUGUUCUUCCCUCUCUCUUUUUGUCUUGCAGUUUGUUGGCACAGAUGAUGCAACAACUUGUGUGGGAGUGCAAAUCCGGACUGUAAGGAUGCUCCAAGUUGGUGUGUUACGCUUCUGAUGGCUUUGCGGAACAAGCAUCGGGCAUUUGGACUUUGCAGGCUGCGUGAAAGAAGGCCUCGUCCAAAUGCUUUCUUCGCUUUUUCCGGACAAGGACACCAUCCUCGAGGUGUUGUUCUUGAUUUUUUUUUCUUUCUAUUUCCCCUGGUUUGUGAGUUGAUUUCUACUGCUUGCCUUCUACACAGGUCCAUAUGGCUGGUGCUUACGAUGACUCCAUCGAGAUGGGGCUCCGAGAAGAUGAGAUGGGACACUCUUGGCCUCUGUGCCUAGAACUUGUCGAGGAGUUGCAAGCUCUGCUUACAAGCUGGAAAUCCGGACGCUUUGCAUUCUCCGGCAUAACACUGUCACAAGCGAUGGGGGUUAUCCUUGUCCUGCUGUGAGAGGCUUCGCGGUGAGCAAAGGUUCCAUAGCUUUUUCGUUCUCUCUCUCUCUUUCUUUUAUCAGUUCUCCUGGUUUCGCAGAUCGAAACAAAAUCUGGACGCUGUUUUCCAGCGAGCUUUUCAGCUGACGCCAGGGGUCCGGACGAAAUCAUUCGAGCACUCUUGAUGCUGGCGGGGCCGGCAACCAGGCUCCGCCUCCCGUAUGACACCGAGUCGGACACUUUCUCGAUCAAACCAUUCCAGUGGUAUCAAGUCUUCUUUCACCACGGUUUCCAUCUUUUCUUCAUGGUUUCUUUCUACCUUUCCAGGAGCCGAGGAUGGAAAAUGCUCGCAGCGCAGUCGCUAGCUCUGUCUGAUGCCGAGCUACUCCAGACUCGAUCAACGUCUCCACACGCAGAGAGCCCGAGCUUCGUCACCUCCAUCAGAAGGUAGUGCAAGAGCUCCUUUCCUUUACAUGCAUCUUUACCACCUUUCAGGAUGGACACUUAUAUUUACAACCAUCCCGACUGGGAACACGCAUUUCCAAACCGAGAGAGCCGAAGGUUAGUAAGAGAUCCUGGAACUGGGAGAUGGAUGCGAGCGGAAGACCCAAACUCAAGAAGAGUUGCGAGCACAGCCAAAGCUUUAUGGGAGCUCUCGCUUUGAAAACCACAGGCUCUUCGUCACCACAUCCCGAGAGAGAGCUUUGCUACGACAGAUUCUCAAGCGAGGCAAUCCACGAAGAGAGUCUCGCGUUUACUUGCACUGGUAUCUCGUCGUGAGGACAGUGUCCGGCUUGGAGCUUCAUGAGCGUUGCGUCGUUGUAAAGAGCUUGGAUCUUGUCAGCUUUAGAAGACGGGGCCAGUGGAUCCGACUCUCCCCACAGUACUAGCAGUGGACAAUCCAAAUCUCGCAAAAGUUUCUCCAGGGAUAAAUCAGAUGGCUGGAACAAGAAGCGAGAGAUCAUCCUGUUCCAAGAAAAAAAAGCCAUUCUUUUCGUAGUUUUUCAUUUCUUUCCCUUCUACGAACCUGUAAAACACCACUGCUGAGCAGCAAGGAAGGAACCAACAAAAAAAAGCCUGACUUUGACACCAUCAAGCAAACUUGGACUUUACCUCAGAAUCUGUGGCAUUUUUCUUCUUCUCACCCGCCUCAACAAAGGAGCUGGGUGUUGGAAAUGUAAUUAUUGUGGAAAAAUGUAUUGCGGUCCGCUAAAAUGAAUUAAAACGCAUCUUGCUAAAUUUUUUGGGUAUAACAUUGAAGCAUGUAAUGCUUUAAAUGUUCCUCUUCAUGUUCAGAAUCAAACUCGCUAAAUGUUUGUGGAUUAAUAUUAACAUAGUGGGAUUUUAAUAGACAUUAAAUUAGUUUCAAUCUAGACCUUUCAUAUAAUUUAUGCCCUUUUGUCUUUACCUUUUACAACAAAUCUACAGAAUAGGCAUUUUGAUAGAGCAUCUGCUUCUAGAGUUGGCACACAAAGUGCUAGUCAAUCUUAGCCUAUGAGUGCUUUUAUAGGCUAGGGAUCAUUUGUUAGUCGAAAGCGAAUGUAAGAUGGCAACAUUGGAGAAAUGCUUGAUGAUGUAAAAAACAUGAAUUUAGAUGAUGUGAUAUUAAAGUUCAUUUUCUUGAAUGCCAUACUAUUUAAUGUUGUGAAAAGCCUAUAUUUUCGUGCAAUGAUCACAACCACUUGUAAUGCCGGACAUAAUGCUGCAUCGAGGAUUCUUGGUUACAAUAAAGUUUGUAUUACUCAGUUCACUUGUCACUAUACUCUAAUCAAAGAGAAGUUAAUUCCCUUUCAUGAUGGAUGGACUCAAUUUAAAUGUACAAUAGUGACUGAUGGAUGGUUUGAUAUAAAAAAACAGAUCAUUCAUAAAUUUCAUAGUUACCUCUAUCUAUGGCUCAAUAUUUUGGCAGGGUGUUGACACCAAAGGGAAGAAAAGAUUGGUCUUUGGCUUUGGGAGCAAUUUAGACCCAUUAUUUUGGAUGUUGGUAUUGAAAAUGUUCUUCAAGUCAUUAUUGAUAGUAUUUUGAAUUGUGUAUUAAUGGGGGAACAUAUGAGAGAAGAAUUCCCCUUUAUCUUACACAAUCAAUGCAUGUGCUGUGUUUUGGACUUGUUAUUGGAGGAUAUUGGGAAGUUUGAUUGAGUGUCUAAAAUUAUAAAUGACUGUGAGAAGAUCGUGAAGUUCAUAAUUGAGAAGCUAAUAUUACUUGCUUUAUUUUGAAAGUUUUGCUCUAGAGAACUCAUGAAGCCUGCAAACACUUGAUUCGCUUACAUCUUUUUUAUAGUCAGCUAGCUCCAACAUGAAAAUGUUUUGCCAUGCUUUCGACGAUUCAAAGUGAGUGUAGAAUUUGAAUUGUCGAAAUGGUAUAACACAAAGGAUGCUAAGAAUGUUCGUACAACAACUUUCAAUGAUGAAUUUUAGAAGAACACUUUUACUUUAUUGGUCAUGGUAACUCUUAUUUUGAAGGUGUUAUGUCUUGUAGAUCGUAAGGGUGCAAUAACAAGAUUAAUUUAUGAAGCAAUGUAUUGUAUAAUUAAAGGAUUAGAGCUUAUAGCUCAAAUGGCAAGCUUGAUGCGGAUAAAAUUAAUGCAAUUAAGUGUAUUUUGAUUGAAGAUUAACAUAGACAAAAAGCUCGAUGGUUUAUGAUGCAUAGCUAUAUGCACAAUGCUACACAUGCUUUGAAUCUUUCAUACCUUGAGCAAGACUUAAAUGCUGAGGUAAGAAGCGAUUGAAUAGAUUAUUUAUCACUCUAUUGCUGUAAGGACACUCAAUUGGAAGAAAAGUUAGAUAAGUAAUUCAAUAUGUUUCGACAAGGAAAUGGAAGAGCUAUCAAUUAAGAUUUGCUGAAGAGCAAAGCAAAAAGGAAAUUCCUAGUGUCUUGGUGAGAAUCCUAUGGAUAUGAGAUACAUGAGCUCAGGAAGUUAGCAUUUUGUGUGUUGAGCCAAAGAGUGUGCUCUUUUCCAUGUGAGCAAAAUUGGAAUAGUUGGAACUUGAUCCAAACCAAAUAAUAUAAUCACGUACUUCCAGAGAACUUGAAAAAGUUAGUUUAUGUACAUAAUAACACAAGAGUGGUGGAUCGUAUUGAAAGUGAAGGAAUAAAAUUCUUAAAAGAUCAAUCUCGACACAAUUACAAUCAAACCACAAUGGAUAAAGAUUGUAGAGUGAAUCUCUUAGUAUAGAAGAUUUAGCCGAAGAAAAUUUUCCAAAUGAGGAUGUGAUUGUUAAAGUAGAUGCCAGAGAUGUUAAAGAACUUGCCGAAGAUGUUGAAGAAGAUAAGUAAUAGUUGAUUUGGUUUAAUGCUUUGGUUUUCUUACUUUUAUUAGUGUGGUUUUACUAAAAAUGUUUUUUUUUAAAUAAAAAAAUUUAUGAACUGUUCUGCCGUUUAGCAUUUUUACGGCCGGUCGAUAACCACUGUUAACCAAUCGGUCGGUCAAUCAGUGUUCGGAACAAUUGGGACUAACCUUGCACCCCAGCGUGACAAACAAGCAUAGUGGUCAAAAGCUCAUGCCCAGUCUUUUUCCUCUGCAAAGAUUUAUACUGGCCAGCAUUAGAGUGGCCCAGCGCAAUCAGAAAGCCCUGGCCCUAAAAUUUAAAAAAUUUAGGAAUCUUGAGCUGCCACGUGGAUUGGUUCUUUUGGUCAAAUGUUUAAUCUGGACUGGCCGAUAGUGUGGCUUGCUUUUUCUUUUCUCAUGCACUUGAGAGCGCUUCUUCAGUCAUAGUACGUUUGUCAAAGCUCGAUUUAUGUUCUGUUGGCCUGCCGUUGGUUUUUAAGCUCUUUCUUCUUUUCUUCUUGUCUUGCUCUGCUUUUCUCGGUUUUGGGACUUUGCUUUUGAUAGCGCCACCUCGACUUAUUCUCCCGAGGAAAAGUAUUCCCGAGAACUAGCUGACAAGUUCUCAUCUCGAAGAAUAAAAGGUAAAACCAUCGUAAGAGCCAUGGCUGAAAUCACACUGCGUUUGUAUCUUUCCUGACAGAGGGCAGAGCUCGUUCGAAAAAUCAAAACAGGAAAGAAAUUUGUGUAAGCUCUUCACUUGAUUUCCUUUUGACUUGUCUCACAAAUUUCAUAUUGUUUAUUGAGACAAGACCUGUGGUCCCGGAAAUCUUACCUUUUCGUGUUGUAGCACUUGUAUUUCUGGACCUGGAAGCUUUGGAUGCUCAAGACGUACCACUUUACCGUUUCGCGCUCUUCUCUCUUCCUUGACUUGCUGCUCUUGUUUUGCAGCCGGAAACUCGGGAUAGAGAUGAAUCGUGCAAGUGUAUUUUUCUUCAAUCCGUCCUCUGAGGUCGAGUUUCUUACGUUCUUUUGUGUACGUGAUUUCUAGUUGGUGAUCUUAACGUUGGUUGUGGUGAUGAUUCAGCUUUUGAUCGAUCAAAGCGUGUUUUCAAUUGUCACAGUCUCCACGCUAAGGAGCCGAAAGUUACGAACGAUUUGUGCAGCUAUGGUGGAGAGCCAAAUACCAAAGUUUCGUUGGAGUUUUCUUUGCAAUAAGCACAGGCUCGCAAGGUUCUAGUUGAAUUUUUUUUAUUUUUUUUGGUCUGGCUGCAACAAUCAUUGAUCGAUUCCAAGCUUAGUAUCAUACAUUUGCUUCUUAUAAUUGCUCCUAUGCCUUAUACACCAAAUCAAGUUGCUGGAAAGCAGGAAUCCUGUUUUUUGCUUCCACGUAAGUUCGUCUCUGAUUGCUUCUGCCUUUCCAGAGAAUUCUAUCUUGCUGGAAAACAUUCCACAAACACUUUCAAAAGCAAGACUCGAGCUUCUUUCAUUACAAUAUUGCUAUUAUCUGAAUCAUCCGCCGGUAACGUCAGUCUCAGCGACCGAAACACCAGUGUACGUACCAGUCUGGGGGAAACUAAAGCUUUCGCCUGUGUCAAGCUUGACAACCAUGACACCCGAGUAUGGCACGUUGAUCUUACCAGAGUAAGUUACUGCCUGGAUGUUAACUGACGCCCCCGGUGCCAGCGUAUUUUCCUCGGAUCACUCGAGGUUUUUGGUGCCGGAAUACUCAACCGUGUUGGUGGACUGCUCGCUCUCUUGCCACUGAUAAGAGCUCUCGGUCUUGAAAAUGUCGAGGAUGCUGGCAUUCACAGUGACGGUCUGGGAAGUGGUGAGGCCUUCGGCCUGAGACCACGAGUAGGAGAUGGUCAUAUCUUUACUUCCAUCAAGCUUCUACUGAACAGGAACUUCACUGUUGUUGCUGCAUUUCAAGGUGUCCAGUGUCUCUGGAACGAUGCUUCCCAAUGCAGAGAUGUUGUAGUAGCGUACGUCUUGGAGCUGGCAAGAGAUCAGCGGCAGGAGAAACGCAAAGCCCCAUGCGUUUAGGUCGUCACCGGCACGGAUGUCGGCUCCCACCAGGAUCCCGGAGUAGACAUUGAUCACCGUGGCGCUUCCACCUUGGUAUCCAUGCUGGAAAGUAUUGCCGAGGCUUGUGGUAAACAUGAUAGCACCGGCGCGAUCACCUGGUCGUCCAAAAGCACGAGCCAAGGUAUAAUGCAUACCAAGAAGAGGUGAUAGAGCAAGCUUACCAACGUGAUCCCAUUCGCCAAGCCAGAGGGACAUGGACGUGAUGAGCUCCCCGGGCUGGAAAGUGUAGGUGUACGAGCUUCCAGCGGGGCUGCCAUAGAGGUGGCCUUGAUUGUCCGUCUCACCCGUCUGCCACAACU
RNAcentral lists this long non-coding RNA (7868 nucleotides) under Selaginella moellendorffii. RNAcentral's name for it is "long non-coding RNA (SMOE_LNC002346)". The record is from RNAcentral. Lineage: Eukaryota; Viridiplantae; Streptophyta; Lycopodiopsida; Selaginellales; Selaginellaceae.